GGGAUGUCUAUGCAGACUGAUUCAGCCUAGCCAGAUUAGACUAACCUGCAAAGAUUGAAUCAAAUCAGGCUUAGGAUUUUUGAAUGUCCGUCCCUAGCCUGGGAGAUUUUAUAUACUUUGUCUCUUCCUCUC
Long non-coding RNA from Gavialis gangeticus (Gharial), 132 nucleotides. RefSeq lists it as uncharacterized. NCBI's taxonomy places the organism in Eukaryota, Metazoa, Chordata, Crocodylia, Gavialidae. The record is from RefSeq and is a predicted model, not a curated record. The transcript has 4 exons.